AGUAUGUGCAAUUUGUAAUGUGGUGUGCAAUAGUGAGAAUGUAUACAAAGAUCAUCUCACCGGGCGCAAGCAUGCUGCAAUGCUAAAGAAACAUGGAGUAAUAAUGGUUGCUGCCACCUGAAUAAAAAAUAUUUGGAGUAGAAGAUUUGGCAAACCUAGUACUUCUGUGAUUUUCAUUCAUUACUAUGUCCAUAUUCUCGUUAGAAGGUGUUACCUGUUCUGCAUUGAUGAUGUUCUAGACAACAAACUUCCAUGCACAAUGUUCUUGUUGGCUAUUGAAAGACACAUUCAUUAAAGAGACUUCUGGUGUUCAUCGAGCAUUUUCACGAUAAUCCUAAAAUCCUUUUAGCCUCGAGACAUGGGUCCAUUCACUUGUAUACAAUUGCCUUUGUCUUCCAGAUGUUCACAUGUGAAUCUCUGGCACAGCGUGGGAGACCAAGAAUCUUAUGCAUGCUGUUGUAAAUUUUACUUUUAAUACCUUUUUUUUUUAUCCAUCUUUUACUGGUAUCUCUUUAAUGGUAUUGUUUCAGGUUAAUUUAUAUGAGUUGGAAGAAUGCAUGUGUGAUCGUCUAUUUGAUGUAGUCUAGAUACGAGGCUGGGGGUGGGCACGGGCCGUUUUAGAGCCUGAAUCAGCAGUUUUGGGUCAAGGGGAAUAAAAUUGGACCAUAGAGUUUCCUUCAAUUCAGUGGCCGGGUUUAAAGUGAUGCCACAAACAGAGGAGUUUUUCAUUUACAUGUAUAGAAAGUAAGAGAUUUCCUUCACUGCUGCACUCAGGUGGAGCAUUAAAGACGAAAGCAUGUCAAUGCAGAAUAAUACUGCAAAAUGAAUGUUUCUUGGUUGAUUUGGCUGGCUAUGUAUAGGAUUUGAACUCAAGACCUUCAGUACCAAUAAAGCUCAUUGGUAUGAAUGUGACCAUCUAAAUGAUGGGUAUGGUGGAG
This 938-nucleotide unclassified non-coding RNA is filed under the name Hevea brasiliensis (rubber tree). The record is from RNAcentral. Lineage: Eukaryota; Viridiplantae; Streptophyta; Magnoliopsida; Malpighiales; Euphorbiaceae.